Fonticula alba is the source of this 71-nucleotide transfer RNA. It matches the Rfam family "tRNA". Rfam says of the family: Transfer RNA (tRNA) molecules are approximately 80 nucleotides in length. Their secondary structure includes four short double-helical elements and three loops (D, anti-codon, and T loops). Further hydrogen bonds mediate the characteristic L-shaped molecular structure. tRNAs have two regions of fundamental functional importance: the anti-codon, which is responsible for specific mRNA codon recognition, and the 3' end, to which the tRNAs corresponding amino acid is attached (by aminoacyl-tRNA synthetases). tRNAs cope with the degeneracy of the genetic code in two manners: having more than one tRNA (with a specific anti-codon) for a particular amino acid; and 'wobble' base-pairing, i.e. permitting non-standard base-pairing at the 3rd anti-codon position. The record is from Rfam. Lineage: Eukaryota; Rotosphaerida; Fonticulaceae.
AAGACUAUAGUUUAAUGGUAAAAUAGAGGCCUCCAAAGCCUUCGUUCUGGGUUCGAAUCCGAGUAGUCUUG